UGCCCAUCACUUGCUUAUACGUCUAGAUCAGMCAGGACGUCGGCAUGUGUAGCGUAUUUUGUCGGGUCUCGAGAUCAAGAAUCGAUGUCCCUUCGAUGUCCCUUCGAUGUCCCUUCGAUGUCCCUUCGAUGUCCCUUUGUUGGUUGGUUUCCUGUGUUCACGGCCCUUUCGUUGCUUUGUUACUUUCGCAUCGUUCGGUGCAUUCUGGGGGCUGUUUUGGCUUUUGGUGACUUGCUUGGCCUUUUGGUUGGGCUUGUUGCUAUUGGUUGGGUGGCUUUCGGGAAUGUCGACCGGGGAGGUGCAUGAGUGGUGUUUGGUUUGUUACGUGUGGAUGGCUGUUUGCUUGCGCACCAACGUUCACGCUGCAUACCUCUUCAGUUUUGCUGCAAGGCUUGGUUUGGCUUGUGCAUAUUGUGGGUUUCCUGUGUUGCAUACCUAGUUGAUGGAAAAGUGUGGGUUUUACGAUUUUCAUUUUCGUCUUGCGUCGUUCUUUUGGCGUGGGAUGAACAAUGAAGCGAUCUUUAUGAUCCACCGCUGUUGCGUUUGCAACAACGAUGUGGCCUAUGAAGCAUCGUUUGGUCUCUUGUAUACGGAACCUGAUUUGGGCUUGGGUCUUUAUAAGAUCUUCGUUAUGCCCUUGUUAAGCGUUCUCGCUUCUCCUAAACGAUUG
RNAcentral lists this unclassified non-coding RNA (670 nucleotides) under Centaurea ochrocephala. RNAcentral's name for it is "partial external transcribed spacer". Lineage: Eukaryota; Viridiplantae; Streptophyta; Magnoliopsida; Asterales; Asteraceae. The record is from RNAcentral.